CGCAGCCGUGCAAGGUGUCACGGCGUUAGCGUUAAUGCUUCCUUCAGGGAGACCGGUGUAGGAGUGAAAUGUAGCUCCAAGCUGUCAGUUUUGAUACAAGAAGACAUGCGAAAGCACAUGGCGCACGUUGAAAAAAGCAGUAACGGUGAGCGUUUCACACAAAACGACAGCCAUCACUUCUUGGCCGCACGAUCUACGAGAUCUUACCACCCACCGCCAAGCAAGUACACGGCUUCUGGUGGUGUGUGUUAUAAAGACAAUGGCCCGAAAACACAACGGACACUACCUCCUCCUCAGAGCUCAGAGAGACAGCACAUACAGACUAUACACAUUCCUAAAGCUUUGGUAGCUGCCCCAUUUCUGCAGCACCCAGCGCUUACACCUGGACAGAAACGCUACCUGUACAGCAUUGCCAAAGUCUACAGCACAGAACACAUCCG
Megalops cyprinoides (Indo-Pacific tarpon) is the source of this 440-nucleotide long non-coding RNA. RefSeq lists it as uncharacterized. The record is from RefSeq and is a predicted model, not a curated record. NCBI's taxonomy places the organism in Eukaryota, Metazoa, Chordata, Actinopteri, Elopiformes, Megalopidae. The transcript is spliced from 4 exons.